AAAGCCCAGCGCACAACCUCCCGGGCUACCAAGCCCGCGGCGGAAUUUUGCGUUAAAGGAAAGGUCGUUUUAAAACCCCGCACACACAGUAAUCUAAGUCUGGAUUGAAUCUUCCACUGCUUUUUAACCGAAGCACCGGCUUCACAGAGGGUGUCAAACCCGUGUGGCUACGUGGUGAUUUGUGCGUGGGUUCGGCCUUUUCCUUGAGAGUCGCGUUGCUUGAGCAUGCAGCGCUAAUCAGGUCGUAAACUCGACCUAAGGCUAAAUAUAUUCACAGAACCGAUAGUAAACAAGUACCGUGAGGGAAAGUUGAAAAGCACUCUGAAGAGAGAGUCAAAAGACCGUGAAACCGAUUAGAGUAUAAGCCAAUGGUAAUGUGAAAGGCUGGGGCAGGCUUUGAAUCUUGUGAUUCUAUCAGGCUAUCGUGUGUGAUAAAAAGACGUCGGGACGCUCGAGGGUAGUGGCAUUGGGUUGAUAACACUCCGGCGACAAACCGGAGUGCGGGCUUUUUACAGCAGUGUCAGUCUCGCACAUCGCGUGCAUACUCUGCACGUGUGUCUUUGUGAGGGUUGCUGGGCUUUAGCAGGCGUCCUAAGCUAAGAGUCACACUUUAACGAGUUGUCUAUACACGGCCCACCCCAACUCUUUACAAGGUCACCCGCACACAGGGGGGCGGAAACGCGCUGGGCGCUUCUCGCGUGCGCAACAGUUGCGUCUCGCAGCCGUGUUUCUCUUGGUCGGACAGCAUUCCCCCACACUCGUGUGYGUSUGGUAUGAUCCUCUGUGAAGGWUGCUUUCUGWCUAUCCGAACACCAACAUUCCGGACCUCGAACUCCUYAGUGGCGUUUAUCUUAGGAACAUUCGCGGCGUGCGGGUCGUGGGUACGCCGAUGGUGAGAGGAUAAAGGGUGAUUUAUUUCACAGCCAUUGGUCACGUCUCGAAACACGGGCCAAGGAGCAUAGCAUGUGCGCGAGUSUAAGGGUCACAGUAAACCMGGAGGCGAAGUGAAAGCAAAUGGUGUGUUAGAGUGUCUCUCUCGGGAGGUGCUCUGACAGCGAGAGUGACUGUCCGUAAUUCCUACCUGGAUGAAUACGGUUGUCACCCUGCUAAGUUACCGAGUUGAUCCUUCGCAAUAAAGCCUAUAUGGCGAUGCGUCGGCGCAAACUCCAGGCUCUAUAACGGAGGCGUCGCUUUCUUAGAGCACUGUGUAGCGUKCAUGCUAUGACCCGAAAGAUAGUGAACUAUGCCUGGCGA
RNAcentral lists this ribosomal RNA (1254 nucleotides) under Gondogeneia sp. MLV-2016. RNAcentral describes it as "partial 28S ribosomal RNA". It matches the Rfam family "Eukaryotic large subunit ribosomal RNA", at positions 104 to 843 of the family's 3401-position model. The record is from RNAcentral. Lineage: Eukaryota; Metazoa; Arthropoda; Malacostraca; Amphipoda; Pontogeneiidae.